AUUGAACGCUGGCGGCAGGCCUAACACAUGCAAGUCGAGCGGAUGAAGGGAGCUUGCUCCUGGAUUCAGCGGCGGACGGGUGAGGAAUGCCUAGGAAUCUGCCUGGUAGUGGGGGAUAACGUCCGGAAACGGGCGCUAAUACCGCAUACGUCCUGCGGGAGAAAGUGGGGGAUCUUCGGACCUCACGCUAUCAGAUGAGCCUAGGUCGGAUUAGCUAGUUGGUGGGGUAAAGGCCUACCAAGGCGACGAUCCGUAACUGGUCUGAGAGGAUGAUCAGUCACACUGGAACUGAGACACGGUCCAGACUCCUACGGGAGGCAGCAGUGGGGAAUAUUGGACAAUGGGCGAAAGCCUGAUCCAGCCAUGCCGCGUGUGUGAAGAAGGUCUUCGGAUUGUAAAGCACUUUAAGUUGGGAGGAAGGGCAGUAAGUUAAUACCUUGCUGUUUUGACGUUACCAACAGAAUAAGCACCGGCUAACUUCGUG
RNAcentral lists this ribosomal RNA (484 nucleotides) under uncultured bacterium. Its description in RNAcentral is "partial 16S ribosomal RNA". It matches the Rfam family "Bacterial small subunit ribosomal RNA", at positions 30 to 507 of the family's 1533-position model. The record is from RNAcentral.